AACGAACGCUGGCGGCACGUUUUAAGCAUGCAAGUCGAACGGCAGUGGGGGCAACCCCAUGAGAGUGGCGAACGGGUGAGUAACACGUAGGUGAUCUGCCUUUGGGUUGGGGAUAGCUUGUGGAAACACAGGGUAAUACCGAAUGAGCUGACGAGGCUUUGGCCAUGUUAGUAAAGGUGCUACGGCACUGCCUAGAGAGGAGCCUGCGGCUGAUUAGCUAGUUGGUGGGGUAAAGGCCUACCAAGGCGACGAUCAGUAGCCGGCCUGAGCGGGUGUGCGACCACUCUGGAAAUGAGACACGGUCCAGACUCCUACGGGAGGCAGAAGGUAAGAAUCUUCCGCAAUGGGCGAAAGCCUGACGGAGCGAUGCCGCGUGAUCGAUGAAGGUCGAGAGAUUGUAAAGAUCUUUUCCAACUGAGGAAUAAGUGGACCAGGGAAUGGGUUCAUGAUGACGUUAAGUUGGGAAUAAGCCCCGGCUAAUUACGUGCCAGCAGCCGCCGUAA
RNAcentral lists this ribosomal RNA (503 nucleotides) under uncultured bacterium. Its description in RNAcentral is "partial 16S ribosomal RNA". It matches the Rfam family "Bacterial small subunit ribosomal RNA", at positions 29 to 523 of the family's 1533-position model. The record is from RNAcentral.